GCGGCGGCGGCGCGGGAGGUUCAGAGCGGGAGCCCGGGCUCGCGGACGGCAUGGAGGACUACGAGCAGGAGCUGUGCGGCGUCGAGGACGAUUUCCACAACCAGUUCGCGGCCGAGCUGGAGGUGCUGGCCGAGCUGGAAGGGGCGUCGACUCCGUCGCCCUCCGGGGUCCCUGUGUCCACCGCGGGCCGACCCCCGCGGACGUUCGAGGAGGCCCUCACCAGAGGGGACGCGGCCUCCAGUCCCGCCCCAGCCGCAUCUGUGGGCAGCAGCCAGGGCGGCGCCAGGAAGAGGCAGGUGGACGCCGACCUGCAGCCGGCCGGGUCUCUGCCCCACGCCCCCAGGAUCAAACGGCCUAGGCUGCAGGUGGCCAAGAGGCUGAACUUUAGGUCGGAGGAGAUGGAGGAGCCGCCCCCUCCCGACUCCCCGCCGACGGACAUCACCCCGCCGCCGAGUCCUGAGGACCUCGCAGAGCUUUGGGGCCACGGAGCCUCAGACGCUGCUGCCGACGUGGGUCUCACACGGGCCUCACCAGCUGCCCGCAAUCCUGUCCUGAGGCGGCCCCCCAUCUUGGAGGAUUACGUCCACGUGACAUCCACGGAGGGCGUCCGGGCCUAUCUGGUGCUGCGUGCUGACCCCAUGGCCACGGGGGUGCAGCUGCUCCAUCUGGAUGGUUUUUUUCUUUUGGCCCCCCUGCCCCGUCUCCCACCCCUCACCGGCCAGCUUACUGGGGUUGUCCCACCCGGGUCCCUGAGCACUGAUGGGGGCUGACGUGAAUCCUGUGACCUACGAGGGGCCCAUAGGCAAUUGUUCUCCCUUCCCCACAGGGCUCUCUCCUCCACGUCUCAUGGCGAGGCGGUGGCCAGCUGGACCUGCUGGGUGUGUCCUUUGCCUCCCUGAAGGAGCAGGUCGACGGCGAGGUUGUGGCUGCGGGUUUGCUGGGGGGCGGUGGCAGGGCCGCCUGAGCCCUCCUGAUCCCAGCCUGUUGUUUACACAGCGGCGGGAGCGGCUGCUUCAGGAAGCCCAGAGGCUCUCAGACACCCUGCACAGUCUCAGGUCGGGGGAGGAGAAGGCAGCACAGCCCGUGGGGGCCCCUGAGGAGGAGCCGACUGACGGCCAAGAUGCCUCCACUCACUGCCUCUGGGUGGAUGAGUUUGCACCCCAGCACUACACGGAGCUGCUCAGUGAUGACGUGAGGUCUUGCUCUCGCUCAAGUGUGGCUGGCUUUCUUUGUUCCCAAGAGGGAAGAACCUGGGCCCAGUGAUUUUUGCACAGCCAAUCCACUGGGCCUCGGGGAUGGAGUGGGGCUCUGGUUUGUCCCUUUGAGUUGUAAGGUGGGGAACUGAGCACAGGGCUGUGUGCUACUGGUUCCCCGUGGCCUGUGAGGCAGGCCAGGGGUCCAGGGUGUCACCUGAUCCAAGUCUCUGUUCCCUUUCCUGCCUUCGUAGCAGCUGACACUGGGGUGACCUUGGGGAGGGCAGGGGCCUCCCAGAUGGGUUGUGGCCAGAGCCGUGGGGAUGGAGCCCCUGGUGUGAGCCUCACGGUCACUCACUGGCAGGAAGACGGGGGUGGCCGUCCACCCUGUGGCUCGGUGUCCCGUGGUGCACGGGGCUCACCGUGGCAGGCUGACUGUCCGUGCCUGGAGGCGGUGCCCUCAGGCUGUGCCUCCCUUCCCGUCCUGCCCGCAGUUCACCAACCGCUGCCUGCUCAAGUGGUUGAAGUUGUGGGACUUGGUGGUGUUUGGCCACGAGAGGCCUGCCCGGAAGCCCAGGCCCAGUGUCGAGCCGGCCCGGGUCAGCAAGGAGGCCACAGCCCCAGGCAAGUGGAAAAGCCACGAACAGGUGCUGGAGGAGAUGCUGGAGGCCGGGCUGGACCCGAGCCAGCGACCGAGGCAGAAGGUGAGCCCCGCUGGCUGUGCCGCCGGCAACAAGCCUGAGGCUUUGCACUCGGCGCCGGCACCCUCGCAGCUUGUUGACUUUCUCUAGGAGCCGUGGGUGUGAUGACGUGUGGGUCUCGGCGUGCAGCGCCAUUAGCACGAGUUAGAACUGGAUCUGUUCCAGUAACAGCUCGGGGGAAGUCAUUGUCCCUGAAGGGCUGUGUGGCUGGCCAGGACGAUCUGGGUGGAUGGUGGGUGGUUUCUGGGGGUCGGUCACAUGGGUACCAGUUGUGUUUUGUCUGCACGAAUCUUGUUUUGGGCAGGGGUUUUUUCUGUUGCUAUAUUGGUGCGUGAAUGUGCUGAGUUUUGUUAUUAUUUGAUGGCUGGAGUGGGGUGGGGGGAGCACCCAGCCUGUGGGACACGUGGCAGUCCCUGGCUGCUGGGCCGGGAGCGUCCUGUAGGUGCGGUGCACACCACGCCUCCAUCUACCUGGGCUGCAGGUGGCACUGCUCUGUGGGCCCCCGGGGCUGGGGAAGACCACCCUGGCACAUGUGAUUGCACGUCACGCGGGGUACUCUGUGGUGGAGAUGAACGCCAGGUGAGUGACGUGAGGCCUGUCUCUGGCUCGCCUUCUGUUCUGAUGUGUUUGAGUUUUGGCGGCGGACCUGAAACCGGGUGUGGAUGUUCCCGUCUUGGGGGUGGUGGGGGCCUGGGCGUGUGGGCCGGGGAAACGUGUCCUUCCUCGGGGUUCACGGGAUCGGCAGCAGCCGCGUCACGUGGCAGUCUCCACGCAAAUGCAGCAGCCCUGGUCUUGGGAGGCUGCCCUGCCGGGGACGCCCACUGCCCUGACGACCCCUGACCUCCCUGUUGCAGUGAUGACCGUAGCCCGGAGGUCUUCCGCACACGUAUCGAGGCGGCCACCCAGAUGGAGUCGGUGCUGGGUGCUGGCGGGAAGCCCAACUGCCUGGUCAUCGAUGAGAUCGACGGGGCCCCCGUGGCCGCCAUCAACGUCCUCCUGAGCAUCCUGAACCGCAAGGGGCCACAGGAGGUGGAGCCACAGGGCCCGGCUGUGCCUUCGGGUGGCGGCCGACGGCGCCGGGCAGAGGGGGGGCUCCUCAUGAGGCCCAUUAUCUGCAUUUGCAACGACCAGUUCGCACCUUCCCUGCGGCAGCUGAAGCAGCAGGCCUUCCUGCUCCACUUCCCGCCAACUCUUCCCUCGAGGCUGGUGCAGCGGCUCCAGGAGGUCUCCCUGCGGCAGGGCAUGAGGGCCGACCCGGGGGUGCUGGCCGCCCUCUGUGAGAAAACGGACAAUGACAUCCGGGCCUGCAUCAACACCCUGCAGGUGGGCGGCCGGCAGGCACCGCGUGGGGUAGGGUGGGGUCGGGAGUUGGCCGCCUCUCAUGCCUCCGCCCCGUGUCUAGUUCCUGUACAGCCGGGGCCAGCGGGAGCUGAGCGUGCGGGACGUGCAGGCCACACGCGUGGGCCUCAAGGACCAGCGCAGAGGGCUCUUCUCGGUGUGGCAGGAGGUCUUCCAGCUGCCUCGAGCCCAGAGGCGCCGUGUGGGCCAGGACCCUGCCCUGCCUGCUGACACACUCCUGCUGGGUGACGGGGACGUGGGCUCCCUGACCUCCGCCUCACAGCGAUUCUACCGUGUUCUGCGUGCCGCUGCCUCUGCGGGCGAGCACGAGAAGGUGGUCCAGGGUCUGUUUGACAACUUCCUGCGCCUGCGGCUGCGAGACUCCAGCCUGGGCGCUGUGUGUGCGGCCCUCGACUGGCUGGCCUUCGAUGACCUGCUGGCGGGGGCUGCUCACCACAGCCAGAGCUUCCAGCUGCUGCGCUAUCCGCCCUUCCUGCCCGUGGCCUUCCACGUGCUCUUUGCUUCCAGCCACACACCCAGGAUCACCUUCCCCAGCAGCCAGCAGGAGGCCCAGAACCGGAUGAGCCAGAUGAGGAACCUUAUCCAGACGCUGGUGUCCGGCAUUGCGCCAGCUACGCGCAGCCGGGCCACGCCCCAGGCCCUGCUCCUGGAUGCCCUCUGCCUGCUCCUGGACAUUCUUGCGCCCAAGCUCCGCCCCGUGAGCACGCAGCUGUACAGCACCCGUGAGAAGCAACAGCUGGCCAGCCUGGUGGGCACGAUGCUCACUUACAGCCUGACCUACCGCCAGGAGCGCACGCCCGAUGGCCAGUACAUCUACAGGCUGGAGCCGAACGUGGAGGAACUCUGCCGCUUCCCUGAGCUGCCUGCCCGCAAGCCCCUCACCUACCAGACGAAGCAGCUCAUUGCCCGCGAGAUCGAGGUGGAGAAGAUGCGGCGGGCGGAGGUUUCUGCCCGGGCAGAGGACAGCCCCCAGGUGGACGGGAGCCCCCUAGGGCUCGAGGGUCUGCUGGGGGGCAGUGGGGAGAAAGGGGUCCGCCGACCUGCCCCACGCAACCAUGAGCAGCGGCUGGAGCACAUCAUGAGGCGAGCGGCCCGGGAGGAACAGCCUGAGAAGGAUUCUUUGGACGUGUGGUCAUCAGGAACACAGCAGUCCCGAGUGCAGGUGUGUGGGGGGUGUUGUGGGGUUGUGGGGGGCCUGGGUGCUGGGGUCUAGCUGAGGAGCAACCCUGUGGCCCCGCAGGGGACAUGGCCCUGGAGCAGGACUCAAUGGAGCGGCGCAUGGGCACGGCAGUGGGCAGGAGCGAGGUCUGGUUCCGCUUCAACGAGGGUGUCUCCAAUGCUGUGCGGCGCAGCCUGUACAUCAGGGACUUGCUCUAAUUCUCUCUGACCUGCGGACACGCCCCCGCAUUGCUUCCCGCAGAGUGCAGGGAGACACAAACCUGGAGAUGUGUUUAUAAAGUCACGCCUUUACAGACUGU
RNAcentral lists this small RNA (4731 nucleotides) under Pongo abelii (Sumatran orangutan). RNAcentral describes it as "retained intron". Lineage: Eukaryota; Metazoa; Chordata; Mammalia; Primates; Hominidae. The record is from RNAcentral.